This 421-nucleotide ribosomal RNA is filed under the name uncultured bacterium. RNAcentral describes it as "bacterial SSU rRNA". It matches the Rfam family "Bacterial small subunit ribosomal RNA", at positions 362 to 775 of the family's 1533-position model. The record is from RNAcentral.
UCUUCCGCAAUGGACGAAAGUCGGACGGAGCAACGCCGCGUGAGUGAUGAAGGGUUUCGGAGCGUAAAACUCUGUUAUUAGGGAAGAACAAAUGCGUAAGUAACUGUCCGCAUCUUGACGGUACCUAAUCAGAAAGCCACGGCUAACUACGUUCCAGCAGCCGCGGUAAUACGUAGGUGGCAAGCGUUAUCCGGAAUUAUUGGGCGUAAAGCGCGCGUAGGCGGUUUCUUAAGUAUGAUGUGAAAGCCAACGGCUCAACCGUGGAGGGUCAUUGGAAACUGAGAAACUUGAGUACAGAAGAGGAAAGUGGAAUUCCAUGUGUAGCGGUGAAAUGCGCAGAGAUAUGGAGGAACACCAGUGGCGAAGGCGACUUUCUGGUCUGUAACUGACGCUGAUGUGCGAAAGCGUGGGGAUCAAACAG